AGCUUUGUUUUCCCUUGGACCAACUUGGCUUGACUUCAGUAAGGACUGACUGCAAAAACUCACUGGAUAACAAGGCUCAUCCACUUCUUAUAUGUAGCAGGACAGCCACGGAGUAACCCACAAUUCGGGCUUCUCAGGCUACCCGCUGUUCCACAGGAGGAUUAAGGGAAUCCAGGCAGCCUCCGCUCUGCUCUGUUGGGCAGCACUGUCUCCCUUCCCACCCCCACCGGCUCAGUGCCGGGAAAGAGGCAACCUCAUCCUCCAUGGGAAGGAACAGCUCCGCCAGCCACUAAUCCUGGCAACGCCGCCCCCUCCAAGUGCCCCCUCCAAGUGCGUAUGUAUGGAAUGUCCACACUGCCGACUGAAUCGGGAUCCAUCAGGAUCCCCGUGUGCCUGCCGACCACCUCACAGCUCCUUUGCGUGCAUUAGGCCUGGCAGGCACCUAGCCUCUGCUGCUACUGGAGGCCAAGUGUUCUCCCUCCACAGAGGCUGCGUCCGGAUCAGUCCAUACUCGUUCGUGAUGCCUAGCACACGCCCCACACCGUGAGACACUGUAAGCCCCUGGAAGACAAGGUUCUUACGUCUUACCUAACGCAGUGACGGACAAACCUCAUUCCCCGGAUGUUACAUAUAUGCUGUGUGCUCACUGAGAUGAAGUGCAGACAGAUCCCAAUGUGCUUUCUACCUAGGAUUUCAUGGGGGGUUCUCACAUAUUC
RNAcentral lists this long non-coding RNA (716 nucleotides) under Ursus maritimus (polar bear). RNAcentral's name for it is "lncRNA (ENSUMAG00000019351.1)". The record is from RNAcentral. Lineage: Eukaryota; Metazoa; Chordata; Mammalia; Carnivora; Ursidae.